GGAAGUAAAGUCGUAACAAGGUUUCCGUAGGUGAACCUGCGGAAGGAUCAUUAUUGUAUAACCGAGGUGCGUGGGCUGUCGCUGACCCGAAAGGUCGUGCACGCCCGAGUGCCCUCACACACAUCCAUCUCACCCCUAUGUGCACCACCGCGUGGGUCCCCCUUUGGCUUGUUCGGAGGGGGGCUUACGUUUUCACACAAACUUUGUAUGCAGUGUAGAAUGUAUUUUUUGUUUUUGCGAUCACGCAAUCAAUACAACUUUCAACAACGGAUCUCUUGGCUCUC
This 284-nucleotide unclassified non-coding RNA is filed under the name plant metagenome. Its description in RNAcentral is "partial contains small subunit ribosomal RNA, internal transcribed spacer 1, and 5.8S ribosomal RNA". The stretch from base 1 to 53 matches the Rfam family "Eukaryotic small subunit ribosomal RNA", at positions 1778 to 1831 of the family's 1831-position model. The record is from RNAcentral.